UAUCCGCCUGGGAACUACGAGCAUUAGCUUAAAACCCAAAGGACUUGACGGUGCUUUAGAUCCAUCUAGAGGAGCCUGUUCUAGAACCGAUACUCCCCGUUUAACCUCACCUUUCCUUGUCCAAUUCCGUCUAUAUACCGCCGUCGUCAGCUUACCCUUUGAAGAACCUGUAGUGAGCACAAUCGGCACAGCCCAAAACGCCAGGUCGAGGUGUAGCGUAUGGAAAGGGAUAGAAAUGGGCUACAUUCAAUAAAUUUUAAUGAAUACGGAUGAUGUCCUGAAAAUGACAUCUGAAGGAGGAUUUAGCAGUAAGUAGAGAAUAGAGUGCUUUGCUGAAAUUCGGCUCUGAAGCGCGUACACACCGCCCGUCACUCUCUCCAAGCUUACAAAUAACCAUCACUAAUACACAAAGCCCGCAAAGGAGAGGCAAGUCGUAACAUGGUAAGCGUACCGGAAGGUGCGCUUGGCAAAACUUUUUCAGGGUAUAGCUUAACGCCAAAGCAUCUCUUUUACACUGAGACCAUACUUGUUAAAAUCAGGUUACCCCGAAACCUAGUAGCUAGCCCCCAACCCCCUGAAACCAAUUAACCACCCUUAAUUAACCCCAAACGCACUAAAAGCACAAAACAAACCAUUUUUCCCUCUGAGUAUAGGAGAUAGAAAAGAAACCAGGAGCAAUAGAGAAAGUACCGCAAGGGAAUGCUGAAAGAGAAAUG
RNAcentral lists this ribosomal RNA (716 nucleotides) under Coris batuensis (Batu coris). Its description in RNAcentral is "partial 12S ribosomal RNA". The stretch from base 1 to 479 matches the Rfam family "Bacterial small subunit ribosomal RNA", at positions 866 to 1533 of the family's 1533-position model. The record is from RNAcentral. Lineage: Eukaryota; Metazoa; Chordata; Actinopteri; Labriformes; Labridae.